ACUGCAACUUUGCGCUGGCAUUCGUGUCGGCAUGUGUAGGAUAGGUGGUAGGCUUUGAAGCGCGGGCGCCAGCUCGUGUGGAGCCAACCUUGAAAUACCACCCUUAUCGUCAUGGAUGUCUAACUGCGGUUCGACAGGAUCCAGGACAGCGCAUGGUGGGCAGUUUGACUGGGGCGGUCGCCUCCCAAAGAGUAACGGAGGNNNNNN
RNAcentral lists this non-coding RNA (207 nucleotides) under Prosthecodimorpha hirschii. RNAcentral's name for it is "Prosthecomicrobium hirschii Bacterial large subunit ribosomal RNA". It matches the Rfam family "Bacterial large subunit ribosomal RNA", at positions 2103 to 2312 of the family's 2925-position model. Lineage: Bacteria; Pseudomonadati; Pseudomonadota; Alphaproteobacteria; Hyphomicrobiales; Ancalomicrobiaceae. The record is from Rfam by way of RNAcentral.